RNAcentral lists this ribosomal RNA (714 nucleotides) under uncultured Gammaproteobacteria bacterium. RNAcentral describes it as "bacterial SSU rRNA". It matches the Rfam family "Bacterial small subunit ribosomal RNA", at positions 58 to 767 of the family's 1533-position model. The record is from RNAcentral. Lineage: Bacteria; Pseudomonadati; Pseudomonadota; Gammaproteobacteria.
CAAGUCGAACGGUAACAGGCCCGCAAGGGUGCUGACNAGUGGCGGACGGGUGAGGAAUACAUCGGAAUUUGCCCAGUCGUGGGGGAUAACGUAGGGAAACUUACGCUAAUACCGCAUACGACCUAACGGUGAAAGCGGGGGAUCGCAAGACCUCGCGCGGAUGGAUAAGCCGAUGUCGGAUUAGCUAGUUGGCGGGGUAAAGGCCCACCAAGGCGACGAUCCGUAGCUGGUCUGAGAGGAUGAUCAGCCACACUGGGACUGAGACACGGCCCAGACUCCUACGGGAGGCAGCAGUGGGGAAUAUUGGACAAUGGGGGCAACCCUGAUCCAGCAAUGCCGCGUGUGUGAAGAAGGCCUUCGGGUUGUAAAGCACUUUUAUCAGGAACGAAACGCGCAGGUUUAAUACGUCUGCGAACUGACGGUACCUGAGGAAUAAGCACCGGCUAACUUCGUGCCAGCAGCCGCGGUAAUACGAAGGGUGCAAGCGUUACUCGGAAUUACUGGGCGUAAAGGGUGCGUAGGUGGUCGUUUAAGUCCGUUGUGAAAUCCCUGGGCUCAACCUGGGAAUGGCAGUGGAUACUGGACGGCUAGAAUGCGGUAGAGGGUAGUGGAAUUCCCGGUGUAGCAGUGAAAUGCGUAGAGAUCGGGAGGAACACCAGUGGCGAAGGCGGCUACCUGGACCAGCAUUGACACUCAAGCACGAAAGCGUGGGGG